CAAACAUUUGCUUAGAGAAGAAAAAAGCAAGGCUCAGAUCCUACACAGCUUGUACUCAUUAAGCAAAAAGGUGAGGACCUCGGCCGAAGAAAAUGUAGUUCACAAAUGCAUACUCGAGCAGAGCCAAGAAUACAAAGACGAAGCAGCCCAUCAGGUCUGACAAGACAGCGGCCCUAGAACAUUACUGCAAAACACAAACCAAUUUACAACUGUCCAUCAGACACUGGGAGAGACAGAGAACCAGGCAAAUAGAAAAACCCAACAGAGUUCCAGUUCUAGUGCUUAGUUAUGCACCAGCAGUGUCUCAGACACACAGAGUCCCCACUAUACGAUCACAGCAAACCACCACACAAGGGUGCAGUUCUGCUCAUCCAGUGGGUAUCUCCGCAGGUCCAUCAUGCAGGCUGCUGUUGUAGUUAUCCUAGUCAAAUACCCACCAACCCAUCCAAACACAAGUUACAACCACACAAGUUACAACCACACAAGUAGUAGCAUCCAAGGACGAUCAAUUACAAG
This is a long non-coding RNA of Trichomycterus rosablanca, 516 nucleotides long. RefSeq lists it as uncharacterized. The record is from RefSeq and is a predicted model, not a curated record. The transcript is spliced from 5 exons. Lineage: Eukaryota; Metazoa; Chordata; Actinopteri; Siluriformes; Trichomycteridae.